Molecule: long non-coding RNA, 1187 nt
Filed under: Anas platyrhynchos platyrhynchos (common mallard)
Lineage: Eukaryota; Metazoa; Chordata; Aves; Anseriformes; Anatidae
Description: lncRNA (ENSAPLG00000019952.1)
Source: RNAcentral
AAGUGCUGUGGAUACUUCUUAAGACUUGGACAUUGGUAGCGAUGUUAUCCAGGUGCAGAGCAGUUGUGUGACAUCUGCAAGAUCUCAUUGCAUUUGGGCUUGGUUUAGGUUUUUAGAUUUUUUUAUUAACUUCUAUUGCUUAACUUAUUUAAAUGCUAGCCCAAAGCCAUGUAGGUAUGAAGUUUUUAUAGACCUAUCUGAAAUAUAGAUGUUGUAUACUACAUGCUGACCAUUACAUGGGAAAAAUAGUAAGGCCUUUCUAGCUUUCUGUUCUACACUUUCUUGCAAUCUUUAUCUGCAGCCUGUGUUACUGCUUGUGUGGCUGUUAUGGUUGGUUUUUCCAUUAUUUUCUUCUUCCUGGGGACCCACAGAGAGACCUUCCUUCUCAAGUGAAAUGCAAUGUUUAAUUCUAUUAUCUGCUUCAGCUCUGACCACAGAUCAUUAUUGUUCAAGAUCAUUUGCUCACUACUGCUGGUAUCUAAAAAUACCUCUACUUAUUCUUGUCCUCCUCUUCUGGAGUCUCUCCAAUAUCCAACACUGUUUCCUAGAAAUGUCUGGUUCCAUUUGGACCUUCAUGAAUGCUAAUACAGAACAUGUAAGCCCUAUUUUUGCAUCCAAGCUAGACAUUUGCUUUUUUUUUUUUUUCCACAGCCCUAUGAUGAUAUUGUUUCAUUCUCAGUUUGUGAGCAACUGUAAUUGAAAUUGUCUUGCAUUUUAGUCAUGUCUUUUAAGAUGUUGGUGUCCUUUGCUUGUUCAAUUUCAUCUUCAAAUCUAAGUAUGUUGCUAUUCUACUACCCAACUUGCUAUUGAAAGCGCUCAAUAUUGAUAUGACCCAAAUCUGUAACUCCCACUUGUUUCUUUCAUCCUUCAAAAGCUAUUUGUGCCUGGCGGUGAUCGCUAACUACUCUUUAAGGACUACUUUUCAGUCAGUUCCCAUGCGUUCAUUUGAACUUUGUUUCCUUGACUUGCUCCUAAAAGAUCACAGCACCUUAUUAAAGCUAAGUCCACCUUGUUUGCUUCCCCUGAUCAAAAUCAACCAUGACUCCAGGACAUUACCACUAAUCUUCCAGACUUCUGUUAAUCACAGAAUCACAGAAUCACAGAAUUUCUAGGUUGGAAGAAACCUCAAGAUCAUCAAGUCCAACCUCUGACCUAACACUAACAGUCCCCACUAAACCAUAUCCCUA